UGAGGAAUAUUGGACAAUGGGCGCAAGCCUGAUCCAGCAAUGCCGCGUGCAGGAUGAAGGCCUUCGGGUUGUAAACUGCUUUUGUACGGAGCGAAAAGGUCUGCCCUAAUACGUUGGGCUCAUGACGGUACCGUAAGAAUAAGCACCGGCUAACUACGUGCCAGCAGCCGCGGUAAUACGUAGGGUGCGAGCGUUAAUCGGAAUUACUGGGCGUAAAGCGUGCGCAGGCGGUUAUAUAAGACAGAUGUGAAAUCCCCGGGCUCAACCUGGGACCUGCAUUUGUGACUGUAUAGCUAGAGUACGGUAGAGGGGGAUGGAAUUCCGCGUGUAGCAGUGAAAUGCGUAGAUAUGCGGAGGAACACCGAUGGCGAAGGCAAUCCCCUGGACCUGUACUGACGCUCAUGCACGAAAGCGUGGGGAGCAAACA
RNAcentral lists this ribosomal RNA (427 nucleotides) under uncultured bacterium. RNAcentral's name for it is "bacterial SSU rRNA". It matches the Rfam family "Bacterial small subunit ribosomal RNA", at positions 355 to 774 of the family's 1533-position model. The record is from RNAcentral.